CUGCCGAGUAGCUGGGACAACAGGCGCCAGCCACCAUGCCCAGGCAUACAAAACCUGCCUUGCCUCUCCCCAGUUUGAACAGUGCUUUUGAACUUUGAUGGAAAAGCCACAUUUGGAAGCUGCAGCAUCCUCGGGAGACAGCUGGAUCAGCCAGAGAGCUUCAGAAAGACACACAUCACUCUGCCAGACACACACACUGCUCCAGCUCCAGCAUCCAACAUCUGACCACAUGUCGGCAGCCACUGCUGACCUGGCUCCACCAUUUCUCCCCAGGUCUAAGCUUAAGCCGCACUGCAUUGCUUCCAUUUCUUCAUGCUUGCUCUGUUCCCUUCUACCACAGGGGCUUUGUGCAAGCUCAGCCUCAACAUGGAUCUUCCCCCUUCUUCACCUGGUCAACAGCCACUCAUUCUUCAACCUUAGUUCGAGCAUCAUCAACCUCCCCCGCUAUGUCAGUUCUCCCUGUUAGACACCCUGGCUGUUCCACAUAUCUUUUAUUCAAAGUAGUUACAUAUUAAAGCAUUCCAUUUGUGCAUACAAUUAUUGUAGAAUUACUUCCCAGCAGACAGAUGCUAUAGGAGGGAAGAGACCUUUUCUGCUUAAGUAUCUAGUGCAGUGCCUGGCCCUUAAUAGGUGCUCAACAAAAAUUUUUAAAUGAAUGCUUAAAUACCAUAUCAUGGGUCAUGUCUGGUUGCAAAAAGAUAUUCAUCAUAAUAAAAAUAAUAAACUAUAAUUAAAAUAUACUCAUCAUCAUAAAAAUAAAUGAACUAGGCAGAUACUGGUGUUAAAGGUAUCACUGCCUUUAUUGUGGGCCAUUUUAGGAUGCAAGGCACAGUAGGGGUAAACAAUUAAGAGAGACUUCUGUAGUCUAGGAAUACAAGAGCUAGUAAAUAUAUAAUGUCUCCAGCAAGAGAAAGGAGGACAAGCAAGUCGGAGCAAGCUGCCCACUGGGGUGGGAGAAGGGAAUGAUAAAAGGGAGGAUUGGAAAUAUACACCAAAAUGCACCAUUCAUACAACGUUUCUAUUCACAACUCAGAAUUCACUGAACAAAAAAUGACCAUUCUGUAUACGAUUCCAAUUAAAUGCAUUAUUGUUGUAUCUGAUUGUGCUAGUGCCUGUCG
RNAcentral lists this long non-coding RNA (1118 nucleotides) under Homo sapiens (human). RNAcentral's name for it is "HSALNT0300555". Lineage: Eukaryota; Metazoa; Chordata; Mammalia; Primates; Hominidae. The record is from RNAcentral.